CGGCAAAGCUGGGGGCGCAAGACCCACCCCACGCGACUGUUCACGCGCCGCCCGGGCGCCCCCCGUGGUCACAUCCCUGGCAGAGAGAUCUAUUUUUGAAGUCAAGAUGAGGAGGUGGUGAUUUGUGAAGAGUUAAUCUCAAAGGGUUCAACAGUAUAAUAUUGAAUUUAAUAUUGAAUGGAUAAAAAAAUUGUUUAUCUGGAACUUGUCUGAACUUGGUCUUAAAAUCAACUGGAAAUUUCAUUAUAUUGGAUUUUUCCUCACAAAAUUUCCAACAGUACUUCCUGGUUUCACCCAACAUCAAAAUAACUGCACAAGACAACAAGUAAAAGAACACAUGCCAAAUAUAAACAGGGCAACAAAGCAAUGCCAGAUCUGGUUCUCAGAAUAAAACAUUAUGAAAAAUGCUCCUCAGAAGACAAUGACUUUGAAAAUGAUGAUACGGACAUGUCUGAACAAUCUGGAUCAACCGGUUAAAUAGACAACUCAUUUUUGCACCAUUCUUACGGAGUGCCUACCAUGUUUUACUAUUCCAGGUCCAUCUUAGACCUAAGGAGUUAUGGAUGCCCAUCAUCUGCAAUGUCUAUAACGUCAGAUCAUCAACUAGUACCACCAACAGUGCUGCAACUAAACAUACAUCAGAUACUAUAUUACCUGUAUAUAGGUAUAGUGUAAAUCAACGUGUUUUAAUGGUUAAAAUCAAUGGGCAUACACCUUUCUUUAGAAAACUGAAAGUACAAGUGGAGAAGUUGAUUAAAAUUUAUUAUUUAAAUUCAGGUUUUCCACUUGGUGAUUUAAAUUGUCUUGAUUUAAAUCAAUCCAUCCUGUUUGUAAGAGAACUACUUUUUCUUUCAGUUAAUUUUUUUUUAAUUGUAUGGCAUAAGAACAAAUUUCCACUAUUGCUUAAUAUAUUUCAUAUUAAGCCUUCUCUAUUUCCUUCAGUCAAAAUAAGAGGGAUUUUUAAAAAAAGAGCACAAUAUUUUUUGCUGAUGUGGAAUUGGUCUCAUGGUUCAUUUAUUAAAACCAGCUAAAUAUUUAGAAAACCAUUGUAGUCAGAGUACAACAGAUUUGU
Long non-coding RNA from Gopherus evgoodei (Goodes thornscrub tortoise), 1072 nucleotides. RefSeq lists it as uncharacterized. NCBI's taxonomy places the organism in Eukaryota, Metazoa, Chordata, Testudines, Testudinidae. The transcript has 4 exons. The record is from RefSeq and is a predicted model, not a curated record.